GGUAUGUGAUCCUUAAUUCAUGGAAAAAUCAAAUCAAUCCGGUUGAAUUAAUGGUCAAGAAGAUUAUAUGUGGCAGGUUUCAUAUAUACUAAUCCUUUUUGGGUUCUAGUUAAUUCAGUGGACUUCUAUGGUUUCCCUUCACAAACUCAAACUUCAUGCUGAGGUUCUAAAAGAGUGUGACACUGUUUUUGCAGAGUGAAUAUGUAAUAGCAUUCUUUAGUACAAAAGUUUACAAUGUAAUAAAGUGUCUUGCUAUACUAUCUAUACUUAGUGGUUUGGUUAUAUGAGCAUAAAAUCACAUGUUAUAUGAGUUGUCUCACUACACAUAAAGGUUGUUGUACUCUCUUGUAUUUGUGUUAAUUUUGUUUUAGUGCUUGAGGUUGGUGUUAGAGUGUUUGAAGUGUUGUCUAUUUCUAGUGAUACAUGUUUG
RNAcentral lists this long non-coding RNA (430 nucleotides) under Lathyrus oleraceus (garden pea). RNAcentral's name for it is "Pisum sativum (pea) long non-coding RNA (PSAT_LNC026526)". Lineage: Eukaryota; Viridiplantae; Streptophyta; Magnoliopsida; Fabales; Fabaceae. The record is from RNAcentral.